GGCAAUACUCAUAUAUAUAUAGCAUUAUACCGUGAAACUGCGAAUGGCUCAUUAAAUCAGUUAUCGUUUAUUUGAUAAUACCUUACUACUUGGAUAACCGUGGUAAUUCUAGAGCUAAUACAUGCUGAAAAUCCCGACUUCGGAAGGGAUGUGUUUAUUAGAUAAAAAACCAAUGCCCUUCGGGGCUCUUUGGUGAUUCAUGAUAACUUUACGGAUCGCAUAGCCUUGCGCUGGCGACGGUUCAUUCAAAUUUCUGCCCUAUCAACUUUCGAUGGUAAGGUAUUGGCUUACCAUGGUUUCAACGGGUAACGGGGAAUUAGGGUUCGAUUCCGGAGAGGGAGCCUGAGAAACGGCUACCACAUCCAAGGAAGGCAGCAGGCGCGCAAAUUACCCAAUCCCGACACGGGGAGGUAGUGACAAUAAAUACUGAUACAGGGCUCUUUUGGGUCUUGUAAUUGGAAUGAGUACAAUUUAAACCUCUUAACGAGGAACAAUUGGAGGGCAAGUCUGGUGCCAGCAGCCGCGGUAAUUCCAGCUCCAAUAGCGUAUAUUAAAGUUGUUGCAGUUAAAAAGCUCGUAGUUGAAACUUGGGCCUGGCUGGCGGGUCCGCCUCACCGCGUGCACUCGUCCGGCCGGGCCUUCCUUCUGAAGAACCUCAUGCCCUUCACUGGGCGUGUUGGGGAAUCAGGACUUUUACUUUGAAAAAAUUAGAGUGUUCAAAGCAGGCCUUUGCUCGAAUACGUUAGCAUGGAAAUAAUAAAAUAGGGCGUGCGUUUCUAUUUUGUUGGUUUCUAGAGACGCCGCAAUGAUUAACAGGAACAGUCGGGGGCAUCAGUAUUCAGUUGUCAGAGGUGAAAUUCUUGGAUUUACUGAAGACUAACUACUGCGAAAGCAUUUGCCCAAGGAUGUUUUCAUUAAUCAGUGACGAAAGUAGGGGAUCGAGACGAUCAGAUACCGUCGUAGUCUUAACCGUAAACUAUGCCGACUAG
Molecule: ribosomal RNA, 989 nt
Filed under: Curvularia affinis
Lineage: Eukaryota; Fungi; Ascomycota; Dothideomycetes; Pleosporales; Pleosporaceae
Description: SSU rRNA
Rfam family: Eukaryotic small subunit ribosomal RNA
Source: RNAcentral